GAAAUGCGAUAAGUAAUGUGAAUUGCAGAAUUCAGUGAAUCAUCGAAUCUUUGAACGCACCUUGCGCUCCUUGGUAUUCCUUGGAGCAUGCCUGUUUGAGUAUCAUGAAAUCUUCAAAGUAAAUCUUUUGUUAACUCAAUUGGUUUCUACUUUGGUAUUGGAGGUCUUUGCAGCUUCACACCUGCUCCUCUUUGAUCAUUAGCUGGAUCUCAGUGUUAUGCUUGGUUCCACUCGGCGUGAUAAGUUAUCUAUCGCUGAGGACACUGUAAAAGGUGGCCAAGGUAAAUGCAGAUGAACCGCUUCUAAUAGUCCAUUGACUUGGACAAUACUUUUAUGAUCUGAUCUCAAAUCAGGUAGGACUACCCGCUGAACUUAAGC
RNAcentral lists this unclassified non-coding RNA (378 nucleotides) under plant metagenome. RNAcentral describes it as "partial contains 5.8S ribosomal RNA, internal transcribed spacer 2, and large subunit ribosomal RNA". The stretch from base 1 to 105 matches the Rfam family "5.8S ribosomal RNA", at positions 50 to 154 of the family's 154-position model. The record is from RNAcentral.